RNAcentral lists this ribosomal RNA (291 nucleotides) under Triticum aestivum (bread wheat). RNAcentral describes it as "partial small subunit ribosomal RNA". The record is from RNAcentral. Lineage: Eukaryota; Viridiplantae; Streptophyta; Magnoliopsida; Poales; Poaceae.
AUGCCAAAGGUGACUCCUCCAACAGAAAUCCUUGCUGCACUAAAGAAGGUACCAGAUUUGGAGGAUAGUGAUAUGCUGAGAGCUUAUGGAAAAUUGAUCGUCAAUGAGCGUUUGUUUGAAGCACUCAUGGCGCUACCCGAGGACUUAAGGAAGCCAUGGCUCUUGACCUUUGAUUGUUUGUUACUAUCCUGUUUAGUUGAUGGAUGGACUACUAUGUACUUUGUUGUUUGCGAACUGUCUAUUUGUGCUAUGUGUAAGAGACAUAAAACUAUCCACUUUUGCUAUGUGUAA